GUUCUUACUUCGACAGCACAUAUACUAAAAUUGGAAUGAUAAAGAGAAGACUAGCAUAACCCCUGUGCAAGAAUGACAUGCAAAUUCAUGAAACAUUCCAAAUUUUA
This 107-nucleotide small nuclear RNA is filed under the name Carlito syrichta (Philippine tarsier). The record is from RNAcentral. Lineage: Eukaryota; Metazoa; Chordata; Mammalia; Primates; Tarsiidae.